GACGAACGCUGGCGGCGUGCUUAACACAUGCAAGUCGAACGGAAAGGCCCUGCUUUUGUGGGGUGCUCGAGUGGCGAACGGGUGAGUAACACGUGAGUAACCUGCCCUUGACUUUGGGAUAACUUCAGGAAACUGGGGCUAAUACCGGAUAGGAGCUCCUGCUGCAUGGUGGGGGUUGGAAAGUUUCGGCGGUUGGGGAUGGACUGGCGGCUUAUCAGCUUGUUGGUGGGGUAGUGGCUUACCAAGGCUUUGACGGGUAGCCGGCCUGAUAGGGUGACCGGCCACAUUGGGACUGAGAUACGGCCCAGACUCCUACGGGAGGCAGCAGUGGGGAAUAUUGCACAAUGGGCUGAAGCCUGAUGCAGCAACGCCGCGUGCGGGAUGACGGCCUUCGGGUUGUAAACCGCUUUCGCCUGUGACGAAGCGUGAGUGACGGUAAUGGGUAAAGAAGCACCGGCUAACUACGUG
Molecule: ribosomal RNA, 468 nt
Filed under: uncultured bacterium
Lineage: Bacteria
Description: partial 16S ribosomal RNA
Rfam family: Bacterial small subunit ribosomal RNA
Source: RNAcentral